AAGUCGUAACAAGGUCUCCGUUGGUGAACCAGCGGAGGGAUCAUUAGCGAGUUACAAAACUCCAAACCACUGUGAACUUUACCUUUUUUCAGAAUGUUGUUUCGGUGGGUAGUUGGUGGCAAGUUCACCAACGUGCCCUGCCCGGCCAGCUGGGCGCCUGCCGGCAGCACCAAAAAAUUCUUUAUAUUUAUAGCGGAGUUUUCAACUCUUCUGAGUAUGUUUAAAACAAAAUAAGCAAAACUUUCAACAACGGAUCUCUUGGUUCUG
Molecule: unclassified non-coding RNA, 267 nt
Filed under: fungal sp.
Lineage: Eukaryota; Fungi
Also listed under: 1 other name
Description: partial internal transcribed spacer region
Rfam family: Eukaryotic small subunit ribosomal RNA (bases 1-46)
Source: RNAcentral